This is a long non-coding RNA of Panonychus citri (citrus red mite), 268 nucleotides long. RefSeq lists it as uncharacterized. The record is from RefSeq and is a predicted model, not a curated record. Lineage: Eukaryota; Metazoa; Arthropoda; Arachnida; Trombidiformes; Tetranychidae. The transcript is spliced from 3 exons.
UGCAAGUUUCAACUAACAAACCGAAUAAAUUAAAUUAGUUUCGUGAAGUUUAUUCAAUUUCUUUAACGUUUAAUAGUUUUACCAAGAUGAUUUAUUCAAUAUCAAUAGCAUUGAGAUUCGUCUUAAUUGUUCAAACAUCGGUUCUCAUUGUUUUUGCAGAGCAUCUUAAUGAUUUACCCUGGUCGGUCGAUAAGGGUAAUUGGAUAAUCGAAGCAAAAUUGUAUAAAUCUUACAACGAGUUUUAUGACAUUCGUGAGUAUAUUUACUC